UGAAAAUGAAUUUCACCCUGGUCUGGAAAAAUUUAACAGACUUUGGACCAUUUACUGCAUGGAUACACAGUUGAAUGUGGUGGGAAAUAUUCUCCCCACAUAAAUUCAACCAAUGUGGAAGCUUAAAGACAAAUCCUUCAUUAAAAAUGACAAAAAGGAUAAAAACCAAGAAAUUCAGAUAUGGCUCAAGCAGCAUCUUGUGUACAGGUGGAAUGGAGGGAGUGUGCAGCAGUGGCAUGAAUGAUCAGCAGAGUGAGUAGAGUGUGAGCUGUCAGAUUAUAAAGGGCACUUCAUUGACUUAUUUGAGUAUGAUUGAUGACCUUCAAAGUCAGCUGAUUCAUCAGCCAAGCUGUCAGAUGGUGGGCUGAACAGCUGGUGGCAUGUUUGACUUCAGUCUUCUGCUUGAUGCUGAGUAUCUGACUGUUUGGAGAGUGUCAGUGUUUGGAGCAGUGUUUAUGUACAUCGCAACAGCAGCAGGAAACAUGUCAUGCUCUACAAAUGUAGCAUUUCUGUAUCAGGCCAAUCAGGAAUAAGAUGCGUCAUUAGUCCACUUCAUCAAAUUAGACAACAGGAGUAGUUGAGUAGUUGAAAGUUUUCAUCUGCAAUGACAUUGUCCUCGUUUAAGUUAUUCCUCCUGUUCAUACUGGCCAUCAGAAGAUCCCUUAAUAAUGAGAGAGAAGUGAAAGUACUCUUGUUUCAAACCAGUGUAACCCACAUGGAUUAGAGGGCUACAAAACCCAUAUAUGUAAUUACAUGUCCUUCCCACAAGGGGGCGCAUAUACAUUGUGCGCCUGUUAUGUUGAGGGAGGUACGUGCCCUCUUUGUUUUACCGCAGCAGCACUCCCAAACACAGCAGACGUGUGUGAGCAUGUAAACAACAGAAAAGCGAGCAAUUCCUGAGGUCCAACUGUGAGUGAGAGGGAAACAACUUCUGUCAAGUUAUUAAUGUUGAAAAACUCCGUUUGGUUUUUUUGUGACCAGAUAGAAUCAAAGAUGGUGAUCCCAGCCUGUGACCCUGUGGCCGGUUGGAGAAACGGUGUUUGCCAGACCGUAGGAACUGCUCACAGAGGACAUCUGAUUUAAAGUGAUACCCAUUUUCAUUGGGUUACAGAUAAGACACACACUAAUUAUCCCAUUAGGGUAGUCGUGAUAGUAGUGACAUUAGACGACGGAACAGAUACAACACUAAACAACUUUGAACUGAACUCUUGAGCUCUUUAACUAUAAUGAGUCCCUACGGAUUAAAGGGACAUUCAGUAAACCAAAGAACAUUUCAUUGGAGAAUUUCCACCUCCAUAACGGACUAUUUCUGAUUAUUUUCUUAUUUGAUUUAUUUAUUUUGUUUUUUAUUUUCCAUUCUUUAAAACUUAAAGUCUUGUGUAUUAUUGUGUAUGAGUCGAGGCAAUAACUGGUCACUGUUUAACCGUACAUUAAUUCAUUCCCUGAAUUAUUCAAGACAACUGCUCAUCGGACCUAGUUAGAUGUUAGUGUCUUACUACUAUUACUACUACUAUUGGUUAGCACUGAGGACGCUACACCAGUUUGACAGUUUUAUGACUUUAACCUCUGUCAGGCAGCCAAACUGUCUUCACCAGGCUGACUCAUGACGAAAAUUGUUUUAAUGUAGUCUCCAAGAAGUCAUUACAGAUACUGUUAAUAAGUUCAGAUCAUAUAAACAAUGGGAGAUUCAUAUGAUUUAAACAGGCCUCUGUGGAGAUUACUAAGCACACCAGAGGACAAAAAAAUUGGCUCAGAGUAUAAAAAAAGACAGAUUGAUAUCUUUUUUAUGAGUCGAGCAAGUGAUGGAUGUAAAGAAACACCUCCUGUGUGGAUUGCCCAUUAGAGUGGUACAUCUGGACUACAAUUUAUCUUAGCAGAA
Molecule: long non-coding RNA, 1879 nt
Organism: Thunnus maccoyii (southern bluefin tuna)
Lineage: Eukaryota; Metazoa; Chordata; Actinopteri; Scombriformes; Scombridae
Exons: 3
Source: RefSeq, a predicted model, not a curated record